AUCUAUCCAUGAGCAGGUUGAAGGUUAGGUAACACUGACUGGAGGACCGAACCCACUCCCGUUGAAAAGGUAGGGGAUGACUUGUGGAUCGGAGUGAAAGGCUAAUCAAGCUCGGAGAUAGCUGGUUCUCCUCGAAAGCUAUUUAGGUAGCGCCUCAUGUAUCACUCUGGGGGGUAGAGCACUGUUUCGGCUAGGGGGUCAUCCCGACUUACCAAACCGAUGCAAACUCCGAAUACCCAGAAGUGCCGAGCAUGGGAGACACACGGCGGGUGCUAACGUCCGUCGUGAAAAGGGAAACAACCCAGACCGCCAGCUAAGGUCCCAAAGUUGUGGUUAAGUGGUAAACGAUGUGGGAAGGCUUAGACAGCUAGGAGGUUGGCUUAGAAGCAGCCAUCCUUUAAAGAAAGCGUAAUAGCUCACUAGUCGAGUCGGCCUGCGCGGAAGAUGUAACGGGGCUCAAACCACACACCGAAGCUGCGGGUGUCACGUAAGUGACGCGGUAGAGGAGCGUUCUGUAAGCCUGUGAAGGUGAGUUGAGAAGCUUGCUGGAGGUAUCAGAAGUGCGAAUGCUGACAUGAGUAACGACAAUGGGUGUGAAAAACACCCACGCCGAAAGACCAAGGGUUCCUGCGCAACGUUAAUCGACGCAGGGUUAGUCGGUUCCUAAGGCGAGGCUGAAAAGCGUAGUCGAUGGGAAACAGGUUAAUAUUCCUGUACUUCUGGUUACUGCGAUGGAGGGACGGAGAAGGCUAGGCCAGCUUGGCGUUGGUUGUCCAAGUUUAAGGUGGUAGGCUGAAAUCUUAGGUAAAUCCGGGGUUUCAAGGCCGAGAGCUGAUGACGAGUCGUCUUUUAGAUGACGAAGUGGUUGAUGCCAUGCUUCCAAGAAAAGCUUCUAAGCUUCAGGUAACCAGGAACCGUACCCCAAACCGACACAGGUGGUCGGGUAGAGAAUACCAAGGCGCUUGAGAGAACUCGGGUGAAGGAACUAGGCAAAAUGGCACCGUAACUUCGGGAGAAGGUGCGCCGGCUAGGG
RNAcentral lists this ribosomal RNA (1033 nucleotides) under Pseudomonas aeruginosa. Its description in RNAcentral is "partial 23S ribosomal RNA". It matches the Rfam family "Bacterial large subunit ribosomal RNA", at positions 728 to 1760 of the family's 2925-position model. Lineage: Bacteria; Pseudomonadati; Pseudomonadota; Gammaproteobacteria; Pseudomonadales; Pseudomonadaceae. The record is from RNAcentral.